UACUUUCUUGUGGUUUGCUCUUUCCACUAAAAAGCAGAAUGCAUAAAAUAUUCUGAUUAGUUGAGGAUUAUUACUUAGGUUCCAACUAAUGUUUUAUAUAUAAAUCUAAAUUACUAUUCUUCCUUCAUUCUCCUUCCCUUUCGGUUUGGUCAAAUCCCUGUGGGAGAGAGUAGCAUUCCUGUGGUGCUGGUGCUCCAUGGAAGAUUGAGAUGUGGAUCCCACUAUGGAGAAGUUUACAGAUAAGAAAACUAAGAUCAAAGAAGGAAAGCGAAGGAGGUCAAUCCGCUCCUUAGGAAAGUCUGGACUAACCCCUUUAGAAGUUCCUGCAUGCACACAAAGCUUCAAGGUGAGUGCUAGAAUGAUCCUCCUGGGGUGAUGAUAAACACCACCACCUUGGGCCUACUGAGCAGGCGCAAGGACCAAAGCCCUA
Molecule: long non-coding RNA, 430 nt
Organism: Galeopterus variegatus (Sunda flying lemur)
Lineage: Eukaryota; Metazoa; Chordata; Mammalia; Dermoptera; Cynocephalidae
Exons: 4
Source: RefSeq, a predicted model, not a curated record